CACGGGGGGAGCAAGCGUUGUUCGGAAUCAUUGGGCGUAAAGGGUGCGUAGGCGGCGGGGCAAGUCUGAUGUGAAAUCCCGGGGCUCAACCCCGGAACUGCAUUGGAUACUGCCUUGCUUGAGUACUGGAGAGGAGACUAGAAUUUACGGUGUAGCAGUGAAAUGCGUAGAGAUCGUAAGGAAGGCCAGUGGCGAAGGCGAGUCUCUGGACAGUAACUGACGCUGAGGCACGAAGGCCAGGGGAGCAAACGGG
RNAcentral lists this ribosomal RNA (253 nucleotides) under uncultured bacterium. Its description in RNAcentral is "partial 16S ribosomal RNA". It matches the Rfam family "Bacterial small subunit ribosomal RNA", at positions 524 to 776 of the family's 1533-position model. The record is from RNAcentral.